Molecule: long non-coding RNA, 997 nt
Organism: Mastomys coucha (southern multimammate mouse)
Lineage: Eukaryota; Metazoa; Chordata; Mammalia; Rodentia; Muridae
Exons: 3
Source: RefSeq, a predicted model, not a curated record
GAAACGAGAUGGCUUGCUGAACGGAUCCACACCGCUCAGACUCAGACUCUUGCCUCCCACCUCCUGAUAAGGUGCUCACACAACCAACUCCCAAGAAGACGUCGGGAGCCCGAGCCUGCAAAGCAGAGACAGAGAUGGAGCCAUAACUGUGUUACACAAGCUAGCCUGGAAUGCUUGGGCUCAAGCACUCUUCUUGAGUCCCUGGGAAAAUAUAGAGAGACCACAGCAAAACUAUGGGAUACUUGUGAAGAAUGGACUCACCAAAAACAAAUCUGUUACCAUUUCGCAAAAGAUCAAAAUACCUUAAGAUUGUACAUAGAAUCCCCUACACCUGUGGUAGACAUAUAGUUACAUGCUUCUUUUUCAUAUCUCAUUUUAGACAUAGAAUAAGUCCACGUCCCUGUUUCUGUGCUCUUGAAGUAGAACUUUAAAGAGAGAGCUUAGGUCCCUGCCCACACCCAGAGACAGCUUACCUUCCAGGAGUUUUGACACACUUAGGACAGAUGAGUCCUCCACCCCCACCCUAAAAUCCAGCCUAGCAAGGACCCUUGGGACCCAGAGGAUGAGGACCUUCCACCCUGCCUUCUGUUUCCCAUCUGUGCCUGGGAGCAGAUCCUGUGCACCAUUCCCACCACCCUAAGCCAACCACACCCAGAGACAGCUUGAUCCCCCCAGAGGUUCUGACACAGCCUGGCUCAAAGAUCAGGCUCCCCAGACCACUUCCCACACCCAGAGAGAGACUGACCCAAUGAGGCUCAACAUAACCAGGCUCACAUUAGAGGGAAAGGAUCCAGUUAGAGACAGCAAGGCCAGUUAACACCAGAGAUAACCAGAUGGUGAGAAACAAGCAAAAGAACAUAAGGAACAGAAACCAAUGAUACUUGGGAACAUCAGAACUCAGUUUUCCCACCACAGCAAGCUCUGGAUACCCCAACACACCAGAAAAGCAACAUUCAGAUCUAAAAUCCCAUCUCAUGAAGGUGAUAGAGGACUUUAA